ACUCCUACGGGAGGCAGCAGUGGGGAAUUUUGCGCAAUGGGGGAAACCCUGACGCAGCAACGCCGCGUGGGUGAUGAAGGCCUUCGGGUCGUAAAGCUCUGUCUGGAGGGAAGAAAUGAUUGGGAGCUAAUACCUCUUGAUCUUGACGGUACCUCUGAAGGAAGCACCGGCUAACUCCGUGCCAGCGCCGCGGUAAU
RNAcentral lists this ribosomal RNA (197 nucleotides) under uncultured bacterium. RNAcentral's name for it is "partial 16S ribosomal RNA". It matches the Rfam family "Bacterial small subunit ribosomal RNA", at positions 335 to 524 of the family's 1533-position model. The record is from RNAcentral.